UACGAAGGGGGCUAGGCGUUGUCCGGAAUCACUGGGCGUAAAAGGGCGCGUAGGUGGGCGGCCCAAGUUCUAUGGUGAAAAGCUCGAUGCUCAACAUCGAGUCGGCCACGGAUACUGGGUUUGCUCGAGCACUGUAGGGGGCAGAUGGAAUUUCCGGGUGUAGCGGUGGAAUGCGUAGAGAUCCGGAAGAACACCGGUGGCG
RNAcentral lists this ribosomal RNA (202 nucleotides) under uncultured bacterium. RNAcentral describes it as "partial 16S ribosomal RNA". It matches the Rfam family "Bacterial small subunit ribosomal RNA", at positions 524 to 717 of the family's 1533-position model. The record is from RNAcentral.